RNAcentral lists this transfer RNA (88 nucleotides) under Synura sphagnicola. Its description in RNAcentral is "tRNA-Ser". It matches the Rfam family "tRNA". From Rfam's summary of the family: Transfer RNA (tRNA) molecules are approximately 80 nucleotides in length. Lineage: Eukaryota; Synurophyceae; Synurales; Mallomonadaceae. The record is from RNAcentral.
GGAGAGAUGGCGGAGUGGACGAUCGCGUAAGAUUGCUAAUCUUUUGUAGAAAAUUUUUCUACCGAGGGUUCGAAUCCCUCUCUCUCCU